AUUAGAGUUUGAUCAUGGCUCAGGAUGAACGCUAGCGAUAGGCCUAACACAUGCAAGUCGAGGGGCAUCGGGACGUAGCAAUACGUUGCCGGCGACCGGCGGAUGGGUGAGUAACGCGUAUGCAACCUACCCGUAGCAGGGGGAUAGCCCGUUGAAAGACGGAUUAAUACCCCGUAACACAGGGGCUCCGCAUGGAGAUUAUUGUUAAAGGGUCAUUUCUUUUAGAGGUGGUCCGGCUACGGAUGGGCAUGCGUUCCAUUAGGUAGUUGGUGUAGGUAACGGCUCACCAAGCCGACGAUGGAUAGGGGAACUGAGAGGUUGGUCCCCCACACUGGUACUGAGACACGGACCAGACUCCUACGGGAGGCAGCAGUGAGGAAUUUUGGUCAAUGGACGCAAGUCUGAACCAGCCAUGUCGCGUGAAGGAGGACGGCCCUAAGGGUUGUAAACUUCUUUUGCAGUGGAAUAAAGUUUGCCACGUGUUGGCGAUUUGCAAGUACGCUGCGAAUAAGGAUCGGCUAACUCCGUGCCAGCAGCCGCGGUAAUAAU
RNAcentral lists this ribosomal RNA (549 nucleotides) under uncultured Petrimonas sp. RNAcentral describes it as "bacterial SSU rRNA". It matches the Rfam family "Bacterial small subunit ribosomal RNA", at positions 1 to 526 of the family's 1533-position model. The record is from RNAcentral. Lineage: Bacteria; Pseudomonadati; Bacteroidota; Bacteroidia; Bacteroidales; Dysgonomonadaceae.